RNAcentral lists this ribosomal RNA (497 nucleotides) under uncultured bacterium. RNAcentral's name for it is "partial 16S ribosomal RNA". It matches the Rfam family "Bacterial small subunit ribosomal RNA", at positions 28 to 507 of the family's 1533-position model. The record is from RNAcentral.
GAUGAACGCUGGCGGCGUGCCUAAUACAUGCAAGUCGAGCGAACAGACGAGGAGCUUGCUCCUCUGACGUUAGCGGCGGACGGGUGAGUAACACGUGGAUAACCUACCUAUAAGACUGGGAUAACUUCGGGAAACCGGAGCUAAUACCGGAUAAUAUAUUGAACCGCAUGGUUCAAUAGUGAAAGACGGUUUUGCUGUCACUUAUAGAUGGAUCCGCGCCGCAUUAGCUAGUUGGUAAGGUAACGGCUUGCCAAGGCAACGAUGCGUAGCCGACCUGAGAGGGUGAUCGGCCACACUGGAACUGAGACACGGUCCAGACUCCUACGGGAGGCAGCAGUAGGGAAUCUUCCGCAAUGGGCGAAAGCCUGACGGAGCAACGCCGCGUGAGUGAUGAAGGUCUUCGGAUCGUAAAGCUCUGUUAUUAGGGAAGAACAAAUGUGUAAGUAACUAUGCACGUCUUGACGGUACCUAAUCAGAAAGCCACGGCUAACUACGUG